UCUGGUAGCAUUUUUCCAACACUUCCACAUCGCAGUCGUCCCAGAUUUGAGCAUUACAGGUUCUGUUGUUUCCCAAAUAAAUAUGGUUUUGUUUGUAUGUUUGUAAUGCUCAUUAAAGCUUUUGUUUGUAUGGUUAUGGUUAUUGCUGCAUGACCAUUGUUCUUUUUGAA
Molecule: long non-coding RNA, 170 nt
Organism: Gossypium raimondii (Peruvian cotton)
Lineage: Eukaryota; Viridiplantae; Streptophyta; Magnoliopsida; Malvales; Malvaceae
Exons: 2
Source: RefSeq, a predicted model, not a curated record